CACCGUGAGGUGGGAUCUGAAGGAAGCUGGAUUCGGGGAAUAUACUAACCCGAGGGCAAACCUCUGGCCUGACGUACAGAAAUCUCAUAUAAGGUCUCAUGCGAGGGUAAGACUGCAAAUCAAGCCGAAGCCCGAUUACUACACGGAAUCGCAUGGGAUAAAUGAGACAGGUAGAUGGAGGGAAAGAAAC
This 190-nucleotide non-coding RNA is filed under the name human gut metagenome. The record is from RNAcentral.